ACGCGAAGAACCUUACCAGGCCUUGACAUGCUGAGAACCUGCCAGAGAUGGCGGGUGCCUUCGGGGACAGCGGUGACAGGUGGUGCAUGGUUGUCGUCAGCUCGUGUCGUGAGAUGUUGGGUUAAGUCCCGCAACGAGCGCAACCCUUGAUCUUAGUUGCCAGCAUUCAGUUGGGCACUCUAAGGUGACUGCCGGUGACAAACCGGAGGAAGGUGGGGAUGACGUCAAAUCAUCAUGCCCCUUAUGACCUGGGCUACACACGUGCUACAAUGGACGGUACAAAGGGUUGCCAACCCGCGAGGGGGAGCCAAUCCCAUAAAACCGUUCUCAGUUCGGAUUGCAGGCUGCAACUCGCCUGCAUGAAGCCGGAAUCGCUAGUAAUCGUGGGUCGACGCGGCCG
RNAcentral lists this ribosomal RNA (400 nucleotides) under uncultured bacterium. RNAcentral describes it as "bacterial SSU rRNA". It matches the Rfam family "Bacterial small subunit ribosomal RNA", at positions 959 to 1359 of the family's 1533-position model. The record is from RNAcentral.